AUUGAACGCUGGCGGCAGGCCUAACACAUGCAAGUCGAGCGGAUGAAGGGAGCUUGCUCCUGGAUUCAGCGGCGGACGGGUGAGUAAUGCCUAGGAAUCUGCCUGGUAGUGGGGGAUAACGUCCGGAAACGGGCGCUAAUACCGCAUACGUCCUGAGGGAGAAAGUGGGGGAUCUUCGGACCUCACGCUAUCAGAUGAGCCUAGGUCGGAUUAGCUAGUUGGUGGGGUAAAGGCCUACCAAGGCGACGAUCCGUAACUGGUCUGAGAGGAUGAUCAGUCACCAGGGACCUAGGCCACGGUCCAGACCCCUACGGGAGGCAGCAGGGGGAAAUUUUGAACAAUGGGCGAAACCCUGAUCCAGCCAUGGCGGGGGUGUAAAGAAGGUCUUCGGUUUGUAAAGCACUUUAAGUUGGGGGGAAGGGCAGAAAGUUAAAACCUUGCUUUUUGGCCUUUACCAACAAAAAAAGCACCGGCUAACUUCGU
Molecule: ribosomal RNA, 483 nt
Filed under: uncultured bacterium
Lineage: Bacteria
Description: partial 16S ribosomal RNA
Rfam family: Bacterial small subunit ribosomal RNA
Source: RNAcentral